This 68-nucleotide transfer RNA is filed under the name Anadara kagoshimensis. RNAcentral describes it as "tRNA-Asn". The record is from RNAcentral. Lineage: Eukaryota; Metazoa; Mollusca; Bivalvia; Arcoida; Arcidae.
GUACUAGGAGCAUGUAUUUAUGCGUCAGUUUGUUGCACUGAAUAAGGUGUUUAGUACACCCUAGUACU